GCUGCGCAGACAGACGACUCCACUUCCCAGAAGGCAUCGGGGUCCCGGAGCCUCUCUGACCUCCAGAUCCAGACGAGCUUGUAGCACAGCUUUCUGGGAAGUGUAGUUCCGGUAUCAUGCUGGGCCGGUGUGUUGUGUGUCUAACUGCAGGGGUAGCCAGAUGGUGGUACCCAGGAACGUGGAAUUAUCCUGUCAGUUCCAGGUGGAUUUGGCCAUGAAGGUUUUCAAAGGAUAGUGGGUGAUCAUCUCUGAUGCUUGGUCUCAGGCCAUAGUGUUUGGAGAACACUGUGGCCUGAUUGUGUUCUUGGACAUGACUUAGAAGGGCUUGCUUAUAAACAGGAGCCGCCAGUUGUCAAUGAAAUUGUGACCUUGGGGAAGACCAUGGGACUGGAGGUGAACGAGGACGACAUUCAAAAGCUGGUGAAGGAACAUGGCCAAGAGCUGACCACCAAUGAACUGAUGGAUCUGCAUCAUGGGCAACAGCAAGAGGUUAUGGAGGAGAUCUCAUCUGCAGAGGAGGAGGAGAACAAGGCAGAGGACUCCCUCACUUCAAAUGAGAUUAGGGAGAUGUGUAAAAUGUGGGAAACAGUGCAAAAUUUUGUAGAAAAGCACCACCCGAAUAAGG
This is a long non-coding RNA of Felis catus (domestic cat), 625 nucleotides long. RefSeq lists it as uncharacterized. The record is from RefSeq and is a predicted model, not a curated record. The transcript is spliced from 3 exons. Lineage: Eukaryota; Metazoa; Chordata; Mammalia; Carnivora; Felidae.